RNAcentral lists this ribosomal RNA (1386 nucleotides) under Escherichia coli. Its description in RNAcentral is "partial 23S ribosomal RNA". It matches the Rfam family "Bacterial large subunit ribosomal RNA", at positions 1482 to 2843 of the family's 2925-position model. Lineage: Bacteria; Pseudomonadati; Pseudomonadota; Gammaproteobacteria; Enterobacterales; Enterobacteriaceae. The record is from RNAcentral.
CUAUGUUGGCCGGGCGACGGUUGUCCCGGUUUAAGCGUGUAGGCUGGUUUUCCAGGCAAAUCCGGAAAACUAAGGCUGAGGCGUGAUGACGAGGCACUACGGUGCUGAAGCAACAAAUGCCCUGCUUCCAGGAAAAGCCUCUAAGCAUCAGGUAACAUCAAAUCGUACCCCAAACCGACACAGGUGGUCAGGUAGAGAAUACCAAGGCGCUUGAGAGAACUCGGGUGAAGGAACUAGGCAAAAUGGUGCCGUAACUUCGGGAGAAGGCACGCUGAUAUGUAGGUGAAGUCCCUCGCGGAUGGAGCUGAAAUCAGUCGAAGAUACCAGCUGGCUGCAACUGUUUAUUAAAAACACAGCACUGUGCAAACACGAAAGUGGACGUAUACGGUGUGACGCCUGCCCGGUGCCGGAAGGUUAAUUGAUGGGGUCAGCGCAAGCGAAGCUCUUGAUCGAAGCCCCGGUAAACGGCGGCCGUAACUAUAACGGUCCUAAGGUAGCGAAAUUCCUUGUCGGGUAAGUUCCGACCUGCACGAAUGGCGUAAUGAUGGCCAGGCUGUCUCCACCCGAGACUCAGUGAAAUUGAACUCGCUGUGAAGAUGCAGUGUACCCGCGGCAAGACGGAAAGACCCCGUGAACCUUUACUAUAGCUUGACACUGAACAUUGAGCCUUGAUGUGUAGGAUAGGUGGGAGGCUUUGAAGUGUGGACGCCAGUCUGCAUGGAGCCGACCUUGAAAUACCACCCUUUAAUGUUUGAUGUUCUAACGUUGACCCGUAAUCCGGGUUGCGGACAGUGUCUGGUGGGUAGUUUGACUGGGGCGGUCUCCUCCUAAAGAGUAACGGAGGAGCACGAAGGUUGGCUAAUCCUGGUCGGACAUCAGGAGGUUAGUGCAAUGGCAUAAGCCAGCUUGACUGCGAGCGUGACGGCGCGAGCAGGUGCGAAAGCAGGUCAUAGUGAUCCGGUGGUUCUGAAUGGAAGGGCCAUCGCUCAACGGAUAAAAGGUACUCCGGGGAUAACAGGCUGAUACCGCCCAAGAGUUCAUAUCGACGGCGGUGUUUGGCACCUCGAUGUCGGCUCAUCACAUCCUGGGGCUGAAGUAGGUCCCAAGGGUAUGGCUGUUCGCCAUUUAAAGUGGUACGCGAGCUGGGUUUAGAACGUCGUGAGACAGUUCGGUCCCUAUCUGCCGUGGGCGCUGGAGAACUGAGGGGGGCUGCUCCUAGUACGAGAGGACCGGAGUGGACGCAUCACUGGUGUUCGGGUUGUCAUGCCAAUGGCACUGCCCGGUAGCUAAAUGCGGAAGAGAUAAGUGCUGAAAGCAUCUAAGCACGAAACUUGCCCCGAGAUGAGUUCUCCCUGACUCCUUGAGAGUCCUGAAGGAACGUUGAAG